UACCCCUGGAAAGAUUGGACAACCCAGGGUUGCUGAGGAAAAGCCCCUGAACAGGCCCCUGACUGCAGGCAGCCCUGAGUGUCCUUGGCAAGGUAUACAGCUGCCCGGCUCCCCCCCUCAUUAGAGGCCAUCUAGAGGGACUGGGUGUGAAUCUUUGCAAAAGUAGAUGUAAGUUGGCAUAGUUGAACAAUAAGGGGAGAACAAUGCUUAAUCAUAUUGGUGUACAUGUCAUUUAUGCGGCCAGCUCUCCGGACUCGGUCCCUAACACCUGUCCUCCUCCUGUCCCCCUGUGCCCCUUUUCUUGGACAAGUCUCAAAUGGCAACACACAUUCCCAAAGACUGUCUGCUUCCUUAAAUCCACGGACCAGCUAGUGCUGUCACUCAACAGCUGAAAUGAGCUUUCAGAGCCUAGAAACUAGCAGGAGUGACAAACAAAGGGAUUUGAAUCUGGAAAUAGGUGAGUUCCACCCACCCACUGCUGCUGAUGCAGAGACGGGCUCAGGGCAUCUGCGCAGCCCUUCCCUUUGGCACUGAUCCUGCACUGGAAUGUUGUGUUGUUGCCAAACCGGGCCUCAAACCAGGAGAAGGUAAGCCCUGACCAUUUGCCCCUGACCCUGGCACACCCACAGUGUGUUAUCUGGAGCAUGUGCCUCAGCUGGUGUCACUUGAGUUUCACCAGAGUUGCAAGUUGGCUCCUGCUCUGGGCGAUUCCGAGUGACCAUCACAUCAGUUGUGCACUAAGCACCGUUUAGCCAGACCCAGAGAUUUGGCCACAUAGUGACUUCUGAACAGAAAAUCAAAAUGCAGGAAAAGUGCCAGGACCACGGACGGGCCUGGGUACAGCACGGUCUUUGUGGGUCACUGUCACUCCAGGCCCUUACAGUCUCUCCUCAUCUUUCUUGUAGGCUCCCUUCAGGUACAGGAGCCGUUGCUCACUGGUGUUUUUGACUAUUCUCUGCCAAGGAAAUGAGUUGAAUUUCCUUGUCAAAUCUAAUAGGCUUUUAUACUUGGGCUUCUCUGCUGUGGGAUUCAUACUCAGAGACUGGUGUUGGUGUCUGGACGCUUCCAGAAGGUGGAUGUUAUCCCUGGAUGUAUAAAGAAAACGCCUAUCCAUCAUCUCUCAGGCAAUGAGAGCGGUGCAGGUGUCUGGCAUGGCAGCCUUUCCACCAGUUCACUGGUUGAGCUGGUGCCAAGGGAGGCCGUAUGGAGCUGAUGACUUCCUGCCUGUGUUGACAUAGGCCCUAGCCCAGUGUGAUGAGCUGGAGACUGAAAUCGAAUACAUGACAGAGUGGCUGGAUCCAUCCUUGGUGUAUGGAGAAGCUAAAGGCUGAGAGGGGACACUGUCGGUAAUACAGAAAAUACUACCCUGUGUACAGAACGCAUCUCUGAACGCCUCUGAACAGACUGUGCUGCCUCUUAGCUGGACACUCCCACCCAAAUGGCUGACUUGGAAAAGAUAAGACAGACAGUGGGUCUCCUGUUGCUGCGGACCGUUACCUCCCGUCGAGACUCUUUUACUUUGUGACCUGCAGCUUCUUUUGUACAUUGCAACUCUGUUGUGGCUUUAAUUUGUUCUCUGUUUGUGUAAUAAAGGUGGAGUAUGCAGGACUGUA
Molecule: long non-coding RNA, 1613 nt
Organism: Corvus hawaiiensis (hawaiian crow)
Lineage: Eukaryota; Metazoa; Chordata; Aves; Passeriformes; Corvidae
Exons: 3
Source: RefSeq, a predicted model, not a curated record